CAAUAGCGUAUAUUAAAGUUGUUGCGGUUAAAAGCUCGUAGUUGGAUCUCGGCGGGCAGGGGUGGUUCGCUCUUCAGCGCUACUGCCCCGCCUUUGUCCCGUCGUGAUUGGCGGAGGUUUCGGGGUGCUCUUCGUUGAGUGACUCGGAGCGCCGUCAGGUUUACUUUGAAAAAUUAAGAGUGCUCAAAGCAGGCUUUUCACGCUUGAAUAUUCGUGCAUGGAAUAAUGGAAUAGGAACUCGUUUCUAUUUUGUUGGUUUUCGGUAAAUCGAGUUAAUGAUUAACAGGGACAAUUGGGGGCGAUUAGUAUUCAGACGACAGAGGUGAAAUUCUUGGACCGUCUGAAGACUGACUACUGCGAAAG
Molecule: ribosomal RNA, 363 nt
Filed under: uncultured eukaryote
Lineage: Eukaryota
Description: bacterial SSU rRNA
Rfam family: Eukaryotic small subunit ribosomal RNA
Source: RNAcentral